RNAcentral lists this transfer RNA (78 nucleotides) under Desulfurococcus amylolyticus. RNAcentral describes it as "tRNA-Met". It matches the Rfam family "tRNA". Rfam says of the family: Transfer RNA (tRNA) molecules are approximately 80 nucleotides in length. Their secondary structure includes four short double-helical elements and three loops (D, anti-codon, and T loops). Further hydrogen bonds mediate the characteristic L-shaped molecular structure. tRNAs have two regions of fundamental functional importance: the anti-codon, which is responsible for specific mRNA codon recognition, and the 3' end, to which the tRNAs corresponding amino acid is attached (by aminoacyl-tRNA synthetases). tRNAs cope with the degeneracy of the genetic code in two manners: having more than one tRNA (with a specific anti-codon) for a particular amino acid; and 'wobble' base-pairing, i.e. permitting non-standard base-pairing at the 3rd anti-codon position. The record is from RNAcentral. Lineage: Archaea; Thermoproteati; Thermoproteota; Thermoprotei; Desulfurococcales; Desulfurococcaceae. RNAcentral also lists the same sequence under 8 other names.
AGCGGGGUGGGGUAGCCAGGUUAUCCCGCGGGGCUCAUAACCCCGAGAUCGGUGGUUCAAAUCCACCCCCCGCUACCA